CUGCAGCAUUUCCCUUCCUCCCUCCCUCCCUCUCCUUUCAUUGAUUUUUUCAAGCACCAUCUAACGGUCGGAUGACUAAAGCUUUUCAAGUGCUGUGGCCAUAGACUUGUCAGCCCUAGCUUCCGGUCCGUUAUUAUUCUCUUUGUCAAGGUUGCGUGCACAUUCGAAAGUGCACCACAAGAACGUUUGUUACAUCCUCACACUUUUUUUACAACUUUCUUUAUUCUCGGGGAGGGAUUUCUCGUAUAUUCAAAUAAUUUGGCUGUGUGUAGUCUCGGCGGCAGACCCAUAUGCCCUCUAUCAAACAGGUAAUUCAACUCGGAAUUCGAACUCUUGCGGUCGUCUGCAUUGCGGUUCCGAAAUCCCACACGUUGAAGGUUGGGAGAUUGAGACGAAAAUAUACAAAGUUUUCACGAGGAAGUUGUGGUUUCUGUCUUCGGUAUUCCCUAAAUACCGCAGUUGACUAGCCGAAAAGACUCGAGUACUUGCUGCUAAAUGCUCGCUAACAUCCCUGAUCAGGGAUUCGAGCGAGCAGCCCGUGAGCGUAACACGUGCUCAAUGAACGAGUCAUUGAUCCGCAGAGAAGACUGAACCAAAGUAAAAGCAGCAAGCAUGAUUUCAGCAAGGAAGUUAUUAUCCAACAGGUUGAUGGUUACCUUUAAUAUCCCAUCACAACAUCUGGGGACGAAAUCAGAGGCUACAACCACUAGUACCUCUAAAAAGAAGUUCAAUGAUAGUGCUCUGAAAAAAUGGGCAAUAGUGUCACCCCUCGUUGGAGCCAAACAGCUUGCAUCAUCAUUUGUAACUGGAAUUGAAGUUACACCUACAGCCAUUACAUGGGCUGUAUUAGACACUCAGUUAAAUGAGGUUGUUGAUUGUGGAUCUUCACCACUGUUUAGUGAAGUUGUUCGUGUCAAUUCAUCUUCUAUACUUGACAUGGCUCAUCAGGUGAAAGAUUUGAUACCGAAAAGUGAUUUGUUUGUCCUGGAAGAUAAGAUGUGGACUAGAGGAGGGAUCAAAUCUAACAUGGAUAUGGGGACAAAUCUCUUGACAUUUCAAGCAAUGUUGUAUGCACUGCUCAAUGAAAACUACAUACCUGAAGAGUCUCUACCUAAAGUCUUUUACAUCCAGACCAAGGCCAUAUUAAAACUUUUUAAUCUGAAAGUAGGAAAUGAAAGAGUAUCUAGUCAAAACAUUGUACAUAGGAUGAUAAGAAGGUCUGAUGUUGGAUACAUGUUGGACAACAGUUGGGAAAAUAUGGGCAGUUUAGAAGUAACCAAAGACGAUUAUGGUAGGAUCGGUUGGUCUGAUCCAGAAAUGGUCAAAAAGAUUUGGACUCGUGACGAGCUUUGGAGAGAGAAUAUUUCAAAUGCCAUUCUAACCGCGCAUGCCUUCACAGAUCUCUGUCUUAAAGAAGACGGUGAAGCUCUGCGUUUAUUGUGGAAGCGCAAUUAAACUGAUAACUCGAAUUGUUGCAAAUAUAGUUGUUGCCAUCUGUGGAGUUGAGUUGAUAGCUGUGUAGACUCGCGAGCGAUGAUUUACUUGGCUGAGAAUCAACAAGGGAUCGAUUUUCCAUUAAUUUGAAUUAUUAAUCGAGGGGUUAUACGAGUUCGUAAAAUUGGCCGCAGUCAUGUUUACGUGAACGAUGACGUCAGAGCAAGUAUACUGUAUCUCGUGAAUCGUUACUCAAUAGACUCAUCCAAACACUUGAGAGAGGUGGCGCCUCAAUCAAUAAUACUCAAUGGUUAUAAACAGAAGAAGUCUGUCAUUUAACUGCUGCUGCUGCUGGUUGUAAAAAGUUUGUUGCCCUCACAGUUGAAGGCACCAUCUGCUUCCUAUUAAUCAGCUAUGGCUUAUAGACGACGCCGAUGUUAUUAAAAACGACUCCCGCUUGUUCACUAAGCAACGUGAGGGGAGGGUUAUUCAGUAUUCCCUCACGACUCGUCAAGUUGGAUAAGCGAAUUUAUCCAGUUUCAUCAGCCAAUGAUUCAGGAUCAAUUUCCCCGAGAUCGUUGCGGUCGAGCAGUAUAUAGUGGACGACCCGGUAGUGGUCUAUUGACGUCACCAAGCAUAUUGCACUAUACAAGCGUGUUCAGGUCGUAUCCGGCUGAAAUUAACAAGAUUUUUGGUCAGGAGUUCUCUCCUCUCUAUGGCGAACGUGGGGGCGUUCUAAUGUUCUAUACACGUCCAACCUUCAGUUACCUUCGGAGCGUCGGCCAGAGCAGAAGCUUUUUCUACACACUAGUGUGUUUCGUAUGGAAUCGUCGUGAGCACGCGUUGUCCCACAAAUAACUUUCCUGCUGUACAGCUUUCUAUUUUGUUCCGACAUCCAGUGUUCGUUCAUUAGCCAACUCGUCGCCAGGAGAUGAUCACAAUCGGCGAUAUGGUCCAUCCAUCGGCCCAACGAAGUGAAACGGUUCAACAAAGAGAACAAGAAGAUUUUGUUUUCACUCCGCAACACAGACCUAGUCCACCUUCUCCGACGAACGGCCGUUCACACUAUCAGCGAGUUCAGUUCCGAAGAAUGUACCGUUACGGAUUGUCACUGCUGCUGGUCGGGGCCCUUUGCAACUGGAUCGGUUUCGCCCAACAUUAUUUCGCUCCAGUUCGGUAUUUAGGCGUCGGAUGCGUCGUUGCUGGUGCACUUUGCAUCUGCAUUGCGCUUUGUCGGUGGCUAACGAUUCGUGAUAGAUGCAGCGAUCCAUCCACCAAUCAGGAGGUCUCCUGUGGUGCAGAACCCAAUAUUCAUGUCAUAACCGUCUCGGUUCAGAAUGGCGAUUCAUUCCAGCAACCAGCCAGCAUCCUCACCAAACCGCCUGAUUACGAGACGGCCGUCGGGUGUAAACCUCCGUCUUACGAAGAAGCAGUCAGAAUCUCUCCAGCUGUAUUUUUGCAUCAAAAUUCUUAUCCAGUAUCGGUUACUUUACCCGAUUCGGCAGCGCCUGUCAGCACUCCUGCUCCUCCCAGUCGACCGAUCGAUGGGCAGCACUUCACAAACUGAUGGUGGAUGUAAUAGUAUAGACUGAGUACAUGUGCACAAACCGGGCUCUCCUCUGCUGCAGAGGGUAUGCUCCGCACAAAAACAAUAUCUUUCAUGAACCGGCUUGAUUCAACUCCGGCUCGUUUUUCCUCCGAACUUCAAUCCGUAAAAUGAACCCGUAUGGUAAUUCUACGGCCAGAAGUCUUGAGAGAAGUUUAUAAUGUUCAUUAUACCGUGUCGGAUAACGGUGAAAUUGAUUGAACAAUGACCAAUUGAAACAUGUUGCAAUUGGUUUUAUUGUUCUUUUUUACGUAAUUGUGAAAUUGUGUCUUACUGAAAGCAAUUGUAAAUAACGCUGCAUUUUAAAAAUUAGAUUUGUGUUUGAAAAAUGCAAAGGGACCAUGUGAAAAGUUUUCUCGUAACUAAAGAUCUUCAAUGCGAUUUCUUCUUUUUACUCUUUACCAGAAUUGUUAUAACUAUCGUAGAUUGAUGGACGUAAACUUUUGAGUCUCUAGUCAAGGUUCAAAUGUCGUCAAUGAUUGCGAAUUAUGUUUCAAAUGCCAUGUCUGCUCGUUGACACUCCGUCCUUGCACAUUGUAGUAUCUCCUUUAAUGCGCGAUACAUCAAAUAAAAUAUGUUUUUUGUUGUGUUGAAA
Molecule: unclassified non-coding RNA, 3635 nt
Filed under: Daphnia pulex (common water flea)
Lineage: Eukaryota; Metazoa; Arthropoda; Branchiopoda; Diplostraca; Daphniidae
Description: uncharacterized LOC124199839, transcript variant X1
Source: RNAcentral